CUAUUUUGGGUUUUUAUAAUUUUGAGUUUUGGCUUGAGGUCCAAGUUAACCUAAGUCUAUAAAUAGAGAGAGUAACCCUUAUUCUUAUAAUGAAGUGAAUAGAUCAUUCAUAACAUUGUAUUCACAGUAUUUUGCAGUUGCAAAGUGAAUAAGAAGUUUUCCACAGUUUGUGGGCAGAGAGAAACUCUGUAGAAUGUUAGUUCUCUUCUCCUUUAUUGUUCUUUACAC
This 228-nucleotide long non-coding RNA is filed under the name Lathyrus oleraceus (garden pea). RNAcentral's name for it is "Pisum sativum (pea) long non-coding RNA (PSAT_LNC012360)". Lineage: Eukaryota; Viridiplantae; Streptophyta; Magnoliopsida; Fabales; Fabaceae. The record is from RNAcentral.